Molecule: long non-coding RNA, 241 nt
Filed under: Zea mays
Lineage: Eukaryota; Viridiplantae; Streptophyta; Magnoliopsida; Poales; Poaceae
Description: long non-coding RNA (ZMAY_LNC004932)
Source: RNAcentral
UACUUGGAGUACCGUGCAGCCGUAUCUGGGUUGUACAUGCCCUAAUAUGUUCAUUUAUUUAUUCAUGCAUGCACGCGCACAAUAUAAUGAACCAACAAGGUAGUAGAGCAGCAGCAGCUAGGUACUCUUAUAUAUAUGUAGGUAUCAUGUCUUUUUGGCAAAGCUGCUGAUGCUGGGAACCACGGUGGAUGGAUCACGGGCACUUGUGCUGGCCGUCGUGGGUCUUCAUGUUGGCGUAGCA